CAGCAGCCGCGGUAAUACGUAGGGCGCAAGCGUUGUCCGGAAUUAUUGGGCGUAAAGAGCUCGUAGGCGGUCUGUCGCGUCUGGUGUGAAAUCCCGAGGCUCAACCUCGGGCUUGCAUCGGGUACGGGCAGACUAGAGUGCGGUAGGGGAGACUGGAAUUCCUGGUGUAGCGGUGGAAUGCGCAGAUAUCAGGAGGAACACCGAUGGCGAAGGCAGGUCUCUGGGCCGCAACUGACGCUGAGGAGCGAAAGCAUGGGGAGCGAACAGGAUUAGAGACCCGCGUAGUCCCUGUCUCUUAUAU
This 301-nucleotide ribosomal RNA is filed under the name uncultured bacterium. Its description in RNAcentral is "partial 16S ribosomal RNA". It matches the Rfam family "Bacterial small subunit ribosomal RNA", at positions 509 to 809 of the family's 1533-position model. The record is from RNAcentral.